RNAcentral lists this ribosomal RNA (301 nucleotides) under uncultured bacterium. RNAcentral's name for it is "partial 16S ribosomal RNA". It matches the Rfam family "Bacterial small subunit ribosomal RNA", at positions 509 to 807 of the family's 1533-position model. The record is from RNAcentral.
CAGUAGCCGCGGGAAAACGAAGGGUGCAAGCGUUACUCGGAAUUACUGGGCGUAAAGCGUGCGUAGGUGGUGGUUUAAGUCCGUUGUGAAAGCCCUGGGCUCAACCUGGGAAUUGCAGUGGAUACUGGGUCACUAGAGUGUGGUAGAGGAUAGUGGAAUUUCCGGUGUAGCAGUGAAAUGCGUAGAGAUCGGAAGGAACAUCUGUGGCGAAGGCGACUAUCUGGGCCAACACUGACACUGAGGCACGAAAGCGUGGGGAGCAAACAGGAUUAGAUACCCCAGUAGUCCCUGUCUCUUAUAC